AUGCUGAAAGCACCGGUUCUCAUUCGAUCACCUAAGUUAGGCAUCAUCGAGUGUAGUCAGUACUUGGGAGGGUGACCACCUAUGAGGA
Molecule: non-coding RNA, 88 nt
Organism: Trichonephila clavata
Lineage: Eukaryota; Metazoa; Arthropoda; Arachnida; Araneae; Nephilidae
Source: the annotation of a GenBank genome assembly